Molecule: ribosomal RNA, 642 nt
Filed under: uncultured bacterium
Lineage: Bacteria
Description: bacterial SSU rRNA
Rfam family: Bacterial small subunit ribosomal RNA
Source: RNAcentral
GAAAGGCUUCGGCCGGACAGGGAUGGGCAUGCGGCGCAUUAAGCAGUAGGCGGGGUAACGGCCCACCUAACCGACGAUGCGUAGGGGUUCUGAGAGGAAGGUCCCCCACACUGGUACUGAGACACGGACCAGACUCCUACGGGAGGCAGCAGUGAGGAAUAUUGGUCAAUGGUCGGGAGACUGAACCAGCCAAGCCGCGUGAGGGAUGAAGGUACAGAGUAUCGUAAACCUCUUUUGUCAGGGAACAAAGGCGGGGACGUGUCCCCGGAUGAGUGUACCUGAAGAAAAAGCAUCGGCUAACUCCGUGCCAGCAGCCGCGGUAAUACGGAGGAUGCGAGCGUUAUCCGGAUUUAUUGGGUUUAAAGGGUGCGCAGGCGGUCUGUUAAGUCAGCGGUCAAAGCCCGGGGCUCAACCCCGGCCCGCCGUUGAAACUGGCAGUCUCGAGUUGGAGAGAAGUAUGCGGAAUGCGCGGUGUAGCGGUGAAAUGCAUAGAUAUCGCGCAGAACUCCGAUUGCGAAGGCAGCAUGCCGGCUCCACACUGACGCUGAGGCACGAAAGCGUGGGUAUCGAACAGGAUUAGAUACCCUGGUAGUCCACGCAGUAAACGAUGAAAGCGGGCUGUCCGGGGGGAUUGACCCCUGG